RNAcentral lists this ribosomal RNA (320 nucleotides) under uncultured eukaryote. RNAcentral's name for it is "partial 18S ribosomal RNA". It matches the Rfam family "Eukaryotic small subunit ribosomal RNA", at positions 1470 to 1796 of the family's 1831-position model. The record is from RNAcentral.
CCCCUAGAUGUUCUGGGCCGCACGCGCGCUACACUGAACAGUUCAACAAGUCUUAACCUUGGCCGAUAGGUCUGGGUAAUCUUUGAACGCUGUUCGUGAUUGGGAUAGACCUUUGCAAUUAUGGGUCUUCAACGAGGAAUUCCUAGUAAGCGCAAGUCAUCAGCUUGCGUUGAUUACGUCCCUGCCCUUUGUACACACCGCCCGUCGCUUGUACCGAUUGGAUGGUCCGGUGAAAUCUUCGGAUAGCUGGUAGUUGGCUUGCCAUCUACUGCUAAAAGUUGCUUAAACCUUAUCAUCUAGAGGAACAAGAAGUCGUAACA